UUGUUGGUUGAAGUCCAACCGUGGAAAUUUGACAGUUCAUCCACGUAGCUUGAGGGAGACGCAAGGGGUAACCUAAAGCGUUAAGUUCCUUGACAAAGGCUUUGUAAGAGAGCCGAGCAAACUUACGGGUUGCAGCGAAA
This is a non-coding RNA of Thermodesulfovibrio sp. RBG_19FT_COMBO_42_12, 140 nucleotides long. The record is from Rfam. NCBI's taxonomy places the organism in Bacteria, Pseudomonadati, Nitrospirota, Thermodesulfovibrionia, Thermodesulfovibrionales, Thermodesulfovibrionaceae.